This 234-nucleotide long non-coding RNA is filed under the name Capsicum annuum. Its description in RNAcentral is "long non-coding RNA (CANN_LNC019262)". The record is from RNAcentral. Lineage: Eukaryota; Viridiplantae; Streptophyta; Magnoliopsida; Solanales; Solanaceae.
GUCAAGUAGAAGUUGUCAUAUCCCCAGGGAUAAUUGUUGAAUUUAUCAAAAUCCUCAGCACACGCUAACAAAUCAUCUUCUAUGACUUUGCUGUUGUCUCUUGCCAAUAUAACUGAAUGGGAAAACCAAACUAAGCACAAUAGCUCCCUGUACUACUUUGGUAUGUUUUUAUCCAUGAGAUCUGUCAACAAAUUCAAUGAUUUGUAGCCACAUCGAGCAAUGUCAAACAACCCA